AUUUGAGAUGCCACUGAGCUCCUUGUUGCACGAGCUGACCUGGGGCUUUGAGAAUAUGAAGUGGAAUAUUCAUUAACCUUCUUCCUUGAGUUUGUUGAUGAAAAAGAACCUGUCUCUACCUGACUUUGAAAUCCGAGGUGGUAGAGGCCUUGGGGGUCUUGAAGGGGGUGGAGCACUUGUGGGUUGAGUAAAAAGUGGAACUUCCGACACAGUAAGCCACACAUCAUCAGGUGAUUC
Molecule: unclassified non-coding RNA, 237 nt
Filed under: Hevea brasiliensis (rubber tree)
Lineage: Eukaryota; Viridiplantae; Streptophyta; Magnoliopsida; Malpighiales; Euphorbiaceae
Source: RNAcentral